UGGCGAACGGGUGAGUAACACGUGAGUAACCUGCCCCUCACUCUGGGAUAAGCGCUGGAAACGGCGUCUAAUACCGGAUACGACCUUCGGAGGCAUCUCCAGGAGGUGGAAAGAAUUUUGGUGAGGGAUGGACUCGCGGCCUAUCAGGUAGUUGGUGAGGUAAUGGCUCACCAAGCCGACGACGGGUAGCCGGCCUGAGAGGGUGACCGGCCACACUGGGACUGAGACACGGCCCAGACUCCUACGGGAGGCAGCAGUGGGGAAUAUUGCACAAUGGGCGAAAGCCUGAUGCAGCAACGCCGCGUGAGGGACGACGGCCUUCGGGUUGUAAACCUCUUUUAGUAGGGAAGAAGCGAAAGUGACGGUACCUGCAGAAAAAGCACCGGCUAACUACGUGCCAGCAGCCGCGGUAAUACGUAGGGUGCAAGCGUUGUCCGGAAUUAUUGGGCGUAAAGAGCUCGUAGGCGGUUUGUCGCGUCUGCUGUGAAAUCCGGAGGCUCAACCUCCGGCCUGCAGUGGGUACGGGCAGACUAGAGUGCGGUAGGGGAGAUUGGAAUUCCUGGUGUAGCGGUGGAAUGCGCAGAUAUCAGGAGGAACACCGAUGGCGAAGGCAGAUCUCUGGGCCGUAACUGACGCUGAGGAGCGAAAGCAUGGGGAGCGAACAGGAUUAGAUACCCUGGUAGUCCAUGCCGUAAACGUUGGGAACUAGAUGUAGGGACCAUUCCACGGUUUCUGUGUCGCAGCUAACGCAUUAAGUUCCCCGCCUGGGGAGUACGGCCGCAAGGCUAAAACUCAAAGGAAUUGACGGGGGCCCGCACAAGCGGCGGAGCAUGCGGAUUAAUUCGAUGCAACGCGAAGAACCUUACCAAGGCUUGACAUAUACCGGAAACCUACAGAAAUGUAGGCCCCGCAAGGUCGGUAUACAGAUGGUGCAUGGUUGUCGUCAGCUCGUGUCGUGAGAUGUUGGGUUAAGUCCCGCAACGAGCGCAACCCUCGUUCUAUGUUGCCAGCACGUAAUGGUGGGAACUCAUAGGAGACUGCCGGGGUCAACUCGGAGGAAGGUGGGGAUGACGUCAAAUCAUCAUGCCCCUUAUGUCUUGGGCUUCACGCAUGCUACAAUGGCCGGUACAAAGGGCUGCAAUACCGCAAGGUGGAGCGAAUCCCAAAAAGCCGGUCUCAGUUCGGAUUGAGGUCUGCAACUCGACCUCAUGAAGUCGGAGUCGCUAGUAAUCGCA
This 1235-nucleotide ribosomal RNA is filed under the name uncultured bacterium. Its description in RNAcentral is "bacterial SSU rRNA". It matches the Rfam family "Bacterial small subunit ribosomal RNA", at positions 96 to 1346 of the family's 1533-position model. The record is from RNAcentral.